UACAGAGGGUGCGAGCGUUGAUCGGAAUUAUUGGGCGUAAAGCGUGCGUAGGCGGUGAUUUAAGUCGGAUGUGAAAGCCCCGGGCUCAACCUGGGAAUUGCAUUCGAGACUGAAUAGCUAGGGUGCGGUAGAGGGAAGCGGAAUUUCCGGUGUAGCGGUGAAAUGCGUAGAUAUCGGAAGGAACAUCAGUGGCGAAAGCGGCUUCCUGGACCAGCACCGACGUUCAGGCACGAAAGCGUGGGGAGCAAACAGG
Molecule: ribosomal RNA, 253 nt
Filed under: uncultured bacterium
Lineage: Bacteria
Description: partial 16S ribosomal RNA
Rfam family: Bacterial small subunit ribosomal RNA
Source: RNAcentral